CGGAGUCGCUGGUGGACGGCGGCGGGGUCCCGGGGUCGGUGGUCCCGGAGUCGGUCCCGGUCGGCUCCGGGUCCGGGUCGGUCCCGGUCGGGUCCGG
Molecule: transfer RNA, 97 nt
Filed under: Streptomyces griseomycini
Lineage: Bacteria; Bacillati; Actinomycetota; Actinomycetes; Kitasatosporales; Streptomycetaceae
Description: tRNA-Thr
Source: RNAcentral